This 481-nucleotide ribosomal RNA is filed under the name uncultured bacterium. RNAcentral describes it as "partial 16S ribosomal RNA". It matches the Rfam family "Bacterial small subunit ribosomal RNA", at positions 28 to 507 of the family's 1533-position model. The record is from RNAcentral.
GAUGAACGCUGGCGGCGUGCUUAACACAUGCAAGUCGAACGAAGCACUUUAUUUGAUUUCCUUCGGGACUGAUUAUUUUGUGACUGAGUGGCGGACGGGUGAGUAACGCGUGGGUAACCUGCCUUGUACAGGGGGAUAACAGUUGGAAACGGCUGCUAAUACCGCAUAAGCGCACAGCAUCGCAUGAUGCAGUGUGAAAAACUCCGGUGGUAUAAGAUGGACCCGCGUUGGAUUAGCUAGUUGGUGAGGUAACGGCCCACCAAGGCGACGAUCCAUAGCCGACCUGAGAGGGUGACCGGCCACAUUGGGACUGAGACACGGCCCAAACUCCUACGGGAGGCAGCAGCGGGGAAUAUUGCACAAUGGGCGAAAGCCUGAUGCAGCGACGCCGCGUGAGCGAAGAAGUAUUUCGGUAUGUAAAGCUCUAUCAGCAGGGAAGAUAAUGACGGUACCUGACUAAGAAGCACCGGCUAAAUACGUG